This 76-nucleotide microRNA precursor is filed under the name Schistosoma margrebowiei. RNAcentral describes it as "mir-3492 microRNA precursor family". It matches the Rfam family "mir-3492 microRNA precursor family". Lineage: Eukaryota; Metazoa; Platyhelminthes; Trematoda; Strigeidida; Schistosomatidae. The record is from Rfam by way of RNAcentral.
AGCCUUCUGUAUCCGUGCUGAGAUUUCGUCACACAUCAGACCACAAGGGCUGAUGAGACUUCAGUAACAAUAAUCA